Xenia sp. Carnegie-2017 is the source of this 216-nucleotide long non-coding RNA. RefSeq lists it as uncharacterized. NCBI's taxonomy places the organism in Eukaryota, Metazoa, Cnidaria, Anthozoa, Malacalcyonacea, Xeniidae. The transcript has 2 exons. The record is from RefSeq and is a predicted model, not a curated record.
GCAUAUUUUAACAGAAAUUAAAAGUGAAGUUCUUCAGCAAUUUUUGAACUUAGGCCUCCGCAACAGCCAAGAAAAAGAUUCAACAAGUGCCAUAUUUCACACAAAUCAAUAACAGUUGAUUAUAUUAAAACAUAUUUUUUAACACCGCAUAGCUACUCAAUGCUCUAGAAGGUCAUUUAGUUCUUUAUAUACUUUUUUGUUCUCCUACUAUAUUAA